Molecule: ribosomal RNA, 254 nt
Filed under: uncultured bacterium
Lineage: Bacteria
Description: partial 16S ribosomal RNA
Rfam family: Bacterial small subunit ribosomal RNA
Source: RNAcentral
UACGUAGGGUGCGAGCGUUGUCCGGAAUUAUUGGGCGUAAAGAGCUCGUAGGCGGUGUGUCACGUCGAUCGUGAAAACUUGGGGCUUAACUCUGAGCUUGCGGUCGAUACGGGCAUCACUGGAGUUCGGCAGGGGAGACUGGAAUUCCUGGUGUAGCGGUGAAAUGCGCAGAUAUCAGGAGGAACACCGGUGGCGAAGGCGGGUCUCUGGGCCGGUACUGACGCUGAGGAGCGAAAGCAUGGGGAGCGAACAGG